This 191-nucleotide small nuclear RNA is filed under the name Dasypus novemcinctus (nine-banded armadillo). RNAcentral describes it as "U2 spliceosomal RNA (ENSDNOG00000043120.1)". It matches the Rfam family "U2 spliceosomal RNA". Rfam says of the family: U2 is a small nuclear RNA (snRNA) component of the spliceosome (involved in pre-mRNA splicing). Lineage: Eukaryota; Metazoa; Chordata; Mammalia; Cingulata; Dasypodidae. The record is from RNAcentral.
ACUGCUUCCUGGCCUUUUGGUUAAGGUCAAGUGUAGUAUCUGUUCUUAUCAGUUUAAUAUCUAAUACAUCCUCUAUCUGUGGACAAUAUAUUAAGUAGAUUUUUAGAGCAGGGAGAUGGAAUAGGAGCUUGCUCCGUCCACUCCAUGCACUGACUUGGUAUUACAGUACUUCUGGGAAUGAUGUACCCCUC